UCUGCAACCCGGCUACAUGAAGCUGGAAUCGCUAGUAAUCGCGGAUCAGAAUGCCGCGGUGAAUACGUUCCCGGGUCUUGUACACACCGCCCGUCACACCAUGGGAGUCGGAAAUGCCCGAAGUCUGUGACCCAACCUCAGGGAGGGAGCAGCCGAAGGCAGGUCGGAUGACUGGGGUGAAGUCGUAACAAGGUAAC
RNAcentral lists this ribosomal RNA (197 nucleotides) under uncultured bacterium. RNAcentral's name for it is "partial 16S ribosomal RNA". It matches the Rfam family "Bacterial small subunit ribosomal RNA", at positions 1304 to 1500 of the family's 1533-position model. The record is from RNAcentral.